UACGUAGGGCGCAAGCGUUGUCCGGAAUUACUGGGCGUAAAGGGCGCGUAGGCGGUCUGUUAAGCCAGAUGUGAAAGCCCCGGGCUUAACCUGGGAACAGCAUUUGGAACUGGCAGACUUGAGUGCAGGAGAGGAAGGUAGAAUUCCAGGUGUAGCGGUGAAAUGCGUAGAGAUCUGGAGGAAUACCAGUGGCGAAGGCGGCCUUCUGGACUGACACUGACGCUGAGGCGCGAAAGCAUGGGGAGCAAACAGG
Molecule: ribosomal RNA, 253 nt
Filed under: uncultured bacterium
Lineage: Bacteria
Description: partial 16S ribosomal RNA
Rfam family: Bacterial small subunit ribosomal RNA
Source: RNAcentral